AUGGACUUUUUUUCUUUUGGUAUUUUUUUUCUCGUUUUUGGUUCCUUAUUUUUUGGCUUCCCUGUUCGUUCUUAUAUUUUUAUUUAUAUUUUUCCUUUGGAUUUUCCUUUUUCCCACUUUCUUUUUGUUUUUAAUCUACAAAAAUAA
Molecule: ribosomal RNA, 147 nt
Filed under: Triticum aestivum (bread wheat)
Lineage: Eukaryota; Viridiplantae; Streptophyta; Magnoliopsida; Poales; Poaceae
Description: partial small subunit ribosomal RNA
Source: RNAcentral